RNAcentral lists this long non-coding RNA (490 nucleotides) under Microcebus murinus (gray mouse lemur). RNAcentral's name for it is "lncRNA (ENSMICG00000048607.1)". Lineage: Eukaryota; Metazoa; Chordata; Mammalia; Primates; Cheirogaleidae. The record is from RNAcentral.
GCUUUACCAGGUUUUCAAGAUUUCAUUUGUUGAAACCUAUUAACUAGUUAACUGGUUCCCAAAGUGUGGUCCCUGGACCCCAGCAGCAUCAGUAACAUCGGAGACUUGUAUAAAACACAAAAGCUGGUGUCCCACCCAAGCUCUAUUGGGGUUCCACCCAAGAUCCAUUGAAUGCAUCAGCAACUCUAGAGCCCACUCUUCCCAGCCCAACAAGACACUGUGCUUUCUCUGGGCCUGCCCGCCAGCACACAUCUCCUCGGGGUAUGUAUGUACUAAAAUAUCUUCCCUUUAUUUUAUCUGGUCUUCGCCCCAUGGGGCAAGCCAAAGGCUCCUAUUUAUUCUUUCACACAUUAAUUUAAGCUGCUUUAAUUGCUGCUAUGAUAUGUUUUAUAUAAUAUAAUUAAUGUUUUAAUUCUGUGUACUUGCUUCCCCAGGCAGUUUUGCGAAAGACCCAAUUUUGGAAUCAAGCAAAUAAAGACUAAAUAAUGGC